GUUCGCGUCACGAGGUGAACACAUUCAUUCCGGUGCGGCCGUGAAUGGGUGACCAAGUUGAAUUGCUUUGAUCAGAGUUCAUUCGCUUUGACCAAAGGUGAAGUGCGGAUUAUAUCCAGCCAGCUAACCAUGCUUCCACCCAUUAUGCAAUAAAAGUUUCAUAGUGAUGUUUAACUGUAAAAAA
This is a long non-coding RNA of Syngnathus typhle (broad-nosed pipefish), 184 nucleotides long. RefSeq lists it as uncharacterized. NCBI's taxonomy places the organism in Eukaryota, Metazoa, Chordata, Actinopteri, Syngnathiformes, Syngnathidae. The transcript has 3 exons. The record is from RefSeq and is a predicted model, not a curated record.